CCGGUAUUUAUGCAGGUCUUCCACCUGGUGGACACUCCCCUAGGGGACCAGAUGGAAGACUGGGACAGAAGUAACACAGUAGCCAAUCACAGUGGCUAUAGGAUAAACACUCCCCUUUACACAAAUCACUCCCUCUUUCCCAUCCUGGAGAUAAUUAGAUUAAGGUAGCAAAGAGAGCUGUAAUUAUCUCCAGAAGUAAAGAAACAUGCCUUUUUAUAUUUAGCAAAAACAGAAUAAAAAUACAUAACUUUCUUUUUAUAUAACAUAAACUUUAAGUUCCACACAUCCCCAGAUAGCUUGGAUCUGAGUGCAUAUUCUAGGCGAAUAGCGCUCAGAUCCCACGAACACAGGUCCCAGAAUCGUCGACUGAAGUUUGGCUGUCCUUGGCCAUUCGUGUAUUUGUAACCGAUUGCCAGUCCUCUAUUAUAGCUAUCUGGGGUCAGCCACGUUCGCAUACUUUAAUGCGCGAAUAAAAUAUUAUCCCUUCCUUCGAAUGGUUCCACCGUAUGAACGAGGAUGGGUGAAGGUAGCAGCGGCGUUCGACAAAAUAGGUCGCUGAAAUCAGUUCCA
Molecule: non-coding RNA, 570 nt
Organism: Pelobates cultripes (western spadefoot toad)
Lineage: Eukaryota; Metazoa; Chordata; Amphibia; Anura; Pelobatidae
Source: the annotation of a GenBank genome assembly